RNAcentral lists this ribosomal RNA (253 nucleotides) under uncultured bacterium. RNAcentral's name for it is "partial 16S ribosomal RNA". It matches the Rfam family "Bacterial small subunit ribosomal RNA", at positions 524 to 776 of the family's 1533-position model. The record is from RNAcentral.
UACAGAGGUCUCAAGCGUUGUUCGGAUUCAUUGGGCGUAAAGGGUGCGUAGGCGGCGCGGUAAGUCGGAUGUGAAAUCUUGGAGCUUAACUUCGAAACUGCAUUCGAUACUGCCGUGCUUGAGGACUGGAGAGGAGACUGGAAUUUACGGUGUAGCGGUGAAAUGCGUAGAUAUCUGGAGGAACACCGGUGGCGAAGGCGGCAUCCUGGACCAAUAUUGACGCUGAGGAGCGAAAGCCAGGGGAGCAAACGGG